CACCUGAUUCCAUUCCGAACUCAGAAGUGAAACGAAAUAGCGUCGAUGGUAGUGUGGGGUUUCCCCAUGUGAGAGUAGAACAUCGCCAGGC
RNAcentral lists this ribosomal RNA (91 nucleotides) under Vibrio vulnificus. Lineage: Bacteria; Pseudomonadati; Pseudomonadota; Gammaproteobacteria; Vibrionales; Vibrionaceae. The record is from RNAcentral.